This is a non-coding RNA of Trichonephila inaurata madagascariensis, 72 nucleotides long. NCBI's taxonomy places the organism in Eukaryota, Metazoa, Arthropoda, Arachnida, Araneae, Nephilidae. The record is from the annotation of a GenBank genome assembly.
GUCCCUGUAGCGCAAUAAUAGUGCGUUGGACCUUUAAUCCAAAGGUCGUGCGUUCGAAUCUCACCUGGAAUU